UGCUACAAAAUAUUUCUUGAUGAUUUUAUUCACAUUGAUCAUUUUGUUUGCUGUGCUCUCAGGAUAAGCAAAUGUCUUGACAAUAGUGUAAGCUGCCAGAGACAUGUUUAUAUCAGCUGCCCAUUAAAUUCUAUUUUUCUCUUUAAGUAUUCAGAUCGGUCAAAUCCACUGGAAAAACAUAUUGACGUCUUGAUCAAUAAGUAUGGAAUGUCUGCCUGUCCAUUUGCUCCUCAGCUGUUUGGGAGCGCUGGGAAAGAACAUAUGGAAACAUAUGGAACAAAGGUUGAACACUUUGCAAAAAUUGGAUGGAAAAAUCAUAAACACUCAGUUAAUAACCCGUAUUCCCAGUUCCAAGAUGAAUACAGCUUAGAUGAGAUAAUGAAAUCAAG
RNAcentral lists this long non-coding RNA (389 nucleotides) under Rattus norvegicus (Norway rat). RNAcentral's name for it is "long non-coding RNA NONRATT023457". Lineage: Eukaryota; Metazoa; Chordata; Mammalia; Rodentia; Muridae. The record is from RNAcentral.